AAAGAUUAAGCCAUGCAUGUCUAAGUACAUGUGUAUUUAACACGAAACCGCGUAUGGCUCAUUAUAACAGCUAAAAUUUACUUGAUUUUGACUUUUAUCCUACAUGGAUAACUGUGGUAAUUCUGGAGCUAAUACAUGCAUAAAAGAUAUUUCAUUUAUUGAAAUAUUGCGUAUAUUAGUAUUAAAACCAAGCAUUCUUCGGAAUGUUUUGUGUUGAAACUGAAUAUAUCAUGCUGAUCGUAUGGUCUUGUACCGACGACAUGUCAUUCAAGUGUCUGAUCUAUCAACUUUCUAUAUAAGUAUAUAGUACUUAUAUGGUUUUGACGGAUAACGGGGUAUUAGGGUACGACUCCGGAGAAAAUGCCUGAGAAACGGCGUUUACAUCCAAGGAAGGCAGCAGGCGCGAAAAUUACCCACUCUCAGUACGAGGAGGUAGUGACGAGAAAUGACAAGAUCUAUUCCUUCGGGGAUGGAUCAUUGGAAUGGUUUGAUUUUAAAAUCAUUAAAGAGUAUCAAUGAGAGGGCAAGUCUGGUGCCAGCAGCCGCGGUAAUUCCAGCUCUCAUACUGCAUUGAAUUGUUGUUGCGGUUAAAAAGCUCGUAGUUGGAUCUGUACAUGAUAGGUUAGUUUAUUCUUUACGGAAUAUAACUAAUACUAAAUGUUUUUUGUUAGAUUUUUUUAUGGUUCGUAAGGAUCAUAAAAUGUCUAACGAGUUUACUUUGAAUAAAUCAGAGUGCUCAAAACAGGCGUAAGCUUGUAUGGUUUUGCAUGGAAUAAUAGAACAUGACUAUGGUUCAUGUUUUAUUGGUUUUACUUACCAUAGUAAUGAUUAAAAGGAACAAACGGGGGCAUCCGUAUCGCAGGGCGAGAGGUGAAAUUCGUGGACCCUUGCGAGACGAACUACAGCGAAAGCAUUUGCCAAGAAUG
This 926-nucleotide ribosomal RNA is filed under the name Panagrolaimus subelongatus. RNAcentral describes it as "SSU rRNA". It matches the Rfam family "Eukaryotic small subunit ribosomal RNA", at positions 39 to 966 of the family's 1831-position model. The record is from RNAcentral. Lineage: Eukaryota; Metazoa; Nematoda; Chromadorea; Rhabditida; Panagrolaimidae.